AUUGAACGCUGGCGGAAUGCUUUACACAUGCAAGUCGAACGGCAGCACGGGGGCAGUUCUGGUCGCGAGUGGCGAACGGGUGAGUAAUACAUCGGCACGUGCCCGGUCGUGGGGGAAAACGUAGCGAAAGGUACGCUAAUACCGCAUACGAUCUGAGGGUGAACGCGGGGGACCUUCGGGCCUUGCGCCAUCGGAGCGGCCGAUGUCAGAUUAGGUAGUUGGUGGGGUAAAGGGCUACCAACCCGCCGAGCCGUAGAUGGUCUGAGAGGAUGACCAGCCACACUGGGACUUGGGCACGGCCCCGGCUCCUACGGGGGGCAGCAGUGGGGAAUUUUUGACAAUGGGCGCAAGCCUUGUCCAACCAUUCCGCGUGGCGGACGGAGGCCUUCCGGUUGUAAAAUGGUUUUGUGCGGGACGAAAAGGGUCUGGCUAAUACCUGGGGCUCAUUACGGUACCGUAAAGAUAAGCACCGGCUAACUUCGUG
This 484-nucleotide ribosomal RNA is filed under the name uncultured bacterium. Its description in RNAcentral is "partial 16S ribosomal RNA". It matches the Rfam family "Bacterial small subunit ribosomal RNA", at positions 28 to 507 of the family's 1533-position model. The record is from RNAcentral.